This 508-nucleotide ribosomal RNA is filed under the name uncultured bacterium. RNAcentral's name for it is "partial 16S ribosomal RNA". It matches the Rfam family "Bacterial small subunit ribosomal RNA", at positions 28 to 507 of the family's 1533-position model. The record is from RNAcentral.
GACGAACGCUGGCGGCGUGCCUAAUACAUGCAAGUCGAACGCUUCUUUCCUCCCGAGUGCUUGCCCUCAAUUGGAAAGAGGAGUGGCGGACGGGUGAGUAACACGUGGGUAACCUACCCAUCAGAGGGGGAUGACACUUGGAAACAGGUGCUAAUACCGCAUAACAGUUUAUGCCGCAUGGCAUAAGAGUGAAAGGCGCUUUCGGGUGUCGCUGAUGGAUGGAGCCGCGGUGCAUUAGCUCGUUGGUGAGGUAACGGCUCACCAAGGCCACGAUGCAUAGCCGACCUGAGAGGGUGAUCGGCCACACUGGGACUGAGACACGGCCCAGACUCCUACGGGAGGCAGCAGUAGGGAAUCUUCGGCAAUGGACGAAAGUCUGACCGAGCAACGCCGCGUGAGUGAAGAAGGUUUUCGGAUCGUAAAACUCUGUUGUUAGAGAAGAACAAGGACGUUAGUAACUGAACGUCCCCUGACGGUAUCUAACCAGAAAGCCACGGCUAACUACGUG